This 804-nucleotide long non-coding RNA is filed under the name Fukomys damarensis (Damara mole-rat). Its description in RNAcentral is "lncRNA (ENSFDAG00000028297.1)". Lineage: Eukaryota; Metazoa; Chordata; Mammalia; Rodentia; Bathyergidae. The record is from RNAcentral.
UGUUCAUGCAGGGUCACAAAAUACCCUGGACCACAGCAGCAAGCACUCUCUGGUUGCCUCUCAGGUUGUGUCAGCCCUGGGCAGAACUGAAAAUUGACCUCUCCAAGGCAGGUUGUCUGGGCCUACUGUGGAAAUGAGGCGGGCAGUGUGAGGAGGGAAAGAAGGGGAGGAACUACCAGACCAUGGAGGGCUGCAUAUCCCAUUGCGACCUUGAUGAAAACAGAGCAGAGAGGAGGGGUUUGAUCAGAAGAAAUUCCUGAAGGAAUUGUUUGCGAGAGUUUCUGUUUUUACAGAAGAAAAAAUUGUGUUACUCCAGAGAAUGCUGGAGGGAGGGUGCCUUAGGGAGUAUAUUGGUGGAUUACAAAGGCAUCUCAGGCUGGUUAGAAAUACAAGCAGAUCACAGCCUCCUCAAACAAACAAUCUCUGGCGGCGGCGGCAGCAGCUCCAGCACAGCUGUGCUCCAUGGCGAAAAAGUUUCCUCCACACUUUUCAGUGUGCAGGAAAUCUCGCCGGCCCGGUGCUGAGAGGGCAGCAAUCAGAGGUGGGAAAGGCCAAGCGGAACCGACCGCAGCGACGCCCCAAAAGUUGAAUGGAUGUGCGUGCAUCUGGAUGUGCGAAUGAGGCUAAGGAGCCAGCCACCGACGCCUAGUCUCUGUUCCCACACCGGACCCCAGCUCUGCAACCUGCCCUGGCAGGACGGCCAGCGAGCAACAAGAGAGGAGCCCAGCCGCACUGCCUACGCCCUCAGCCUCUCGCUGUCCACCAGGGUGCAGGGGCCUCGAGGAGAAGCCCCCAACAGCCUCC